UGAGUUAACCCAUCUAGAGCAAGCUCUAGUCAGGGAUACAGAGUACAGAGUACAUGAGUACAGAGUACAGAGCUAGUGCAUGCACAGGUUAAGCCUUGGUUCAGAAAAGAGUUUUAUUUUCACAGAAAAUGUAUGAUCAUGUAUGAGGUUUACAGGUACACAGAGAGUAUAGCAGGCUUGCUACGGGUUCUGGCGGCCUUAAGCCGAC
This 208-nucleotide long non-coding RNA is filed under the name Manihot esculenta (cassava). RNAcentral's name for it is "long non-coding RNA (MESC_LNC003385)". Lineage: Eukaryota; Viridiplantae; Streptophyta; Magnoliopsida; Malpighiales; Euphorbiaceae. The record is from RNAcentral.